UAAAAAGUUUAUUAGAGGUCAAGAGUUGUUUCCUGCGCCCUUUGUAGGUGGGUGGUAGCUUCUCUGUUGGCAAGUCAUUAAUUCAAAUAAGAAAAGAAAUGCACAUUUAUGGGAUCGUCAUCCUUUAUAAAGCGAGAGAUGAGGCUAAACUUUUAGUCACCGCUGAAAACUUGUCAAGUUUUGGAUAUUUUCAAAGAUCCACAGUUCGCGAAUUUAUCCAAUUUUUUGCAAUAACUUUAUGUAUGCGUUUAGCGCCAGGCGCUCAUCAUUCUGUAGAGG
This is a long non-coding RNA of Zophobas morio, 279 nucleotides long. RefSeq lists it as uncharacterized. NCBI's taxonomy places the organism in Eukaryota, Metazoa, Arthropoda, Insecta, Coleoptera, Tenebrionidae. The transcript is spliced from 3 exons. The record is from RefSeq and is a predicted model, not a curated record.